This 469-nucleotide ribosomal RNA is filed under the name uncultured bacterium. RNAcentral describes it as "partial 16S ribosomal RNA". It matches the Rfam family "Bacterial small subunit ribosomal RNA", at positions 28 to 507 of the family's 1533-position model. The record is from RNAcentral.
GACGAACGCUGGCGGCGUGCUUAACACAUGCAAGUCGAACGAUCAUCUCCCGCUUGCGGGGGUGAUUAGUGGCGAACGGGUGAGUAAUACGUGAGUAACCUGCCCUUGACUCUGGGAUAAGCAUGGGAAACAGGGUCUAAUACUGGACACUACUUCCUGCCGCAUGGUGGGGGGUGGAAAGGGUUUUACUGGUUUUGGAUGGGCUCACGGCAUAUCAGCUUGUUGGUGGAGUAAUGGCUCGCCAAGGCGACGACGGGUAGCCGGCCUGAGGGGGUGAACGGCCGUCCUGAGACUGAGGCACGGCCGAGACACCUACUGGAGGCAGCAGUGGGGAAUAUUGACCAAUGGGCGGAGGGCUGAUGCAGCGAGGCCGCGUGAGGGAUGACGGCCUUCGGGUUGUAAACCUCAUUCAGCAGGGAAGAAGCAACAAGUGACGGUACCUGAAGAAAAAGCGCCGGCUAACUACGUG